UACGAAGGGAGCUAGCGUUGUUCGGAAUUACUGGGCGUAAAGGGCGCGUAGGCGGCUCUGUAAGUCAGAUGUGAAAGCCCUAGGCUUAACCUGGGAACUGCAUUUGAUACUGCAAGGCUAGAGAUCGAGAGAGGAAAGUGGAAUUACGAGUGUAGAAGUGAAAUUCGUAGAUAUUCGUAGGAACACCAGUGGCGAAAGCGACUUUCUGGCUCGAUACUGGCGCUAAAGCGCGAAAGCGUGGGGAGCAAACAGG
Molecule: ribosomal RNA, 253 nt
Filed under: uncultured bacterium
Lineage: Bacteria
Description: partial 16S ribosomal RNA
Rfam family: Bacterial small subunit ribosomal RNA
Source: RNAcentral